CCUACGGGAAGCAGCAGUGGGGAAUAUUGGACAAUGGGCGAAAGCCUGAUCCAGCCAUGCCGCGUGUGUGAAGAAGGCCUUCGGGUUGUAAAGCACUUUCAGUGGGGAAGAAAGCCUUGGGGCUAAUACCCUCGAGGAAGGACAUCACCCACAGAAGAAGCACCGGCUAACUCCGUGCCAGCAGCCGCGGUAAUACGGAGGGUGCGAGCGUUAAUCGGAAUUACUGGGCGUAAAGCGCGCGUAGGCGGUCUGAUAAGCCGGUUGUGAAAGCCCCGGGCUCAACCUGGGAACGGCAUCCGGAACUGUCAGGCUAGAGUGCAGGAGAGGAAGGUAGAAUUCCCGGUGUAGCGGUGAAAUGCGUAGAGAUCGGGAGGAAUACCAGUGGCGAAGGCGGCCUUCUGGACUGACACUGACGCUGAGGUGCGAAAGCGUGGGUAGCAAACAGGAUUAGAUACCCUGGUAGUC
RNAcentral lists this ribosomal RNA (465 nucleotides) under Vreelandella stevensii. RNAcentral describes it as "partial 16S ribosomal RNA". It matches the Rfam family "Bacterial small subunit ribosomal RNA", at positions 338 to 795 of the family's 1533-position model. The record is from RNAcentral. Lineage: Bacteria; Pseudomonadati; Pseudomonadota; Gammaproteobacteria; Oceanospirillales; Halomonadaceae.